RNAcentral lists this ribosomal RNA (81 nucleotides) under Proteus mirabilis. RNAcentral describes it as "partial 23S ribosomal RNA". It matches the Rfam family "Bacterial large subunit ribosomal RNA", at positions 1 to 81 of the family's 2925-position model. Lineage: Bacteria; Pseudomonadati; Pseudomonadota; Gammaproteobacteria; Enterobacterales; Morganellaceae. The record is from RNAcentral.
GGUUAAGCGAAUAAGCGUACACGGUGGAUGCCUAGGCAAUCAGAGGCGAUGAAGGACGUGCUAAUCUGCGAAAAGCGUCGG